UACGUAGGGUGCAAGCGUUGUCCGGAAUUAUUGGGCGUAAAGAGCUCGUAGGCGGUGUGUCGCGUCGGCCGUGAAAACCUGCAGCUUAACUGUGGGCGUGCGGUCGAUACGGGCAUCACUGGAGUUCGGCAGGGGAGACUGGAAUUCCUGGUGUAGCGGUGAAAUGCGCAGAUAUCAGGAAGAACACCCGUGGCGAAGGCGGUUCUCUGGGACGGUACUGACGCUGAGACGCGAAAGCGUGGGGAGCGAACAGG
This 254-nucleotide ribosomal RNA is filed under the name uncultured bacterium. RNAcentral describes it as "partial 16S ribosomal RNA". It matches the Rfam family "Bacterial small subunit ribosomal RNA", at positions 524 to 776 of the family's 1533-position model. The record is from RNAcentral.